RNAcentral lists this ribosomal RNA (464 nucleotides) under uncultured Prevotella sp. RNAcentral describes it as "bacterial SSU rRNA". It matches the Rfam family "Bacterial small subunit ribosomal RNA", at positions 335 to 795 of the family's 1533-position model. The record is from RNAcentral. Lineage: Bacteria; Pseudomonadati; Bacteroidota; Bacteroidia; Bacteroidales; Prevotellaceae.
UACCUACGGGUGGCUGCAGUGAGGAAUAUUGGUCAAUGGACGCAAGUCUGAACCAGCCAAGUAGCGUGCAGGAUGACGGCCCUCCGGGUUGUAAACUGCUUUUAGUUGGGAAUAAAAGGGGGCUCGUGAGCCCCGUAUUGUAUGUACCAUCAGAAAAAGGACCGGCUAAUUCCGUGCCAGCAGCCGCGGUAAUACGGAAGGUCCGGGCGUUAUCCGGAUUUAUUGGGUUUAAAGGGAGCGUAGGCCGGCUUUUAAGUCAGCUGUGAAAGUCCGCGGCUCAACCGUGGAAUUGCAGUUGAAACUGGAGGCCUUGAGUGCACACAGGGAUGCCGGAAUUCAUGGUGUAGCGGUGAAAUGCUUAGAUAUCAUGAAGAACUCCGAUCGCGAAGGCAAGUGUCCGGGGUGCAACUGACGCUGAGGCUCGAAAGUGCGGGUAUCAAACAGGAUUAGAUACCCUUGUAGUC